GCUUCAGGAACACUUGGCAGUGGUAGAGCGCCAGCACGUACUGCAGCGCCAGGUCCAGCGCCCCUGGCGCCACCGCGACCCCCGCCCCGCCGCCCAGGCUGAGUAGUAGCGCCUGGCCCGCUAGGGUCUGCAGCCCCACGUGGGCCGAGGGGUAGAGGAGGAAAUUGAAGACGAAGGCGUUGGGACAGCGCCGCUGCUGCAGGAUGGUGUUUCCCUUCCUGUUUGCUGAUCCACUGGGGCUGUCCCAGAAAGAGAACUACAACGCUACUCUUUCCCAUGCCUUGCUUGUCCACAGUUCUGGAUGUUGGGAAGCAGAAGAACAAGGUGCCAGCAGAUCCAGUGUCUGUGAGAGCUGCUGUCAGCUUCCAGAUGGUGCCUUAUUGCUACAUCCUUUAAGGUGUUGAACCCUGUGUCUUCACAUGGCCAAAAGAAGAGAAGGGUCAUAGGAAAUGAAACAGACUGCUGUUUUCAUGAGAAGCAUUUACAGAGGGAAAUAAGGACACUCACCAAAUAGGGCUAAUUUGAAGAAGGACACAGCUGACUUAGUAGGAAGAAGGCAGAAGAAUUAUCUCCUGGUAAUCAAGACUCUGAAAAUAAGACUUAAGAUAAAAGACUGGAUACAUGCAAGAACAGAGUUCUUAAAGAUCACCAGCUGAAGAUUGUGAUUUUUCAUUCUUCUAUGCCCUAAGACAGCCAUAUUUUACCAUUUGAAACAUAAAUAAAAAUGACUUCCAGGCUUAUUUGAUUACAGACUGAAUUGCUCUAUCAUAGGAUGACAAGCAAUGACAGAUAGGUUCCCCAUAAAGAAAAGUCUGUGAGACUCCAUAUUUCCUGUAAAAGAUGAUAUGAGGAAACCGGGCAGAUUUUUCUUUCAUUCAUACUCUUUUAUAUGGGGGCAAUAGUACUGUCAAUCUCUAUUAUAUCAUUAGGUUACCUGGAAGGUCUUAUGUUUGGCAGUGGAAUGUAAGUUUUAGGGUAAUUUUUCUGAGUGGCAACCCAAGGCCAAUGUAGUAAAUUUUGAAAGAUCAAUUAAAUUACAGAAAAGGCUUGCAUAACAUAAAUGUGUUCUGCCCACUUGUCAACAUGGGUAAAGAUAUUAAUAUUGUAACAAGUGCAAUGACAGAAUUUCAUUUUCAGACUCCAGACUUCUUAACAGUAGCAGUGGCAAGGCAUCAAACCAGUGAGUUUUGCUUCUUUAAUAGUUUCUAUAAAACUUGACAGCCUUUCUGUACAUUGCAAAUACUCUAAAACCACAUUGACUUUAUACAUUAGCUAAACUGCCUAGGAACUUUUUCUAGAUACAACUAAUUCCUGAAGGUGAAGAAGACAGUGUGAGUAUUGCAAGAUCAUGGAUGCAGUUCUUCGAGGUAAAGGCUGUUUUACUCACAUUUGUGAUGUCCUGUUUGUCACAUAAAAGAAAGUCAAUAGAUGCUUCACUGAUUGAAUGUAUAAAGCUGUGAGCUAUGAAAUUUCUCUGAAGAAAAAGGUGAAAAGUCUGAAUUCUUCUUGUGCACCUCAAGUGAUAGUCAUUGUUAAGUAAACCUAAGUGGCAUGAAAGUGUAGGGUCAAGGAUGAUAAAAGGGACAUUUUAAAAUUAUAUUUAAACAGGAGGUGCCAUGGCAUAAUAUUUUCAGUUUAGAAUCAAAAAAGAAAAUGACUUUUUCUGCCAAAGACAAAAGUGUAAAUCUGUUUCCUUCUCCACCAUAUGCCACAAAUAAAAAAAAAAAAAAAUCACAGAUGUCAAAGAGAACACAGGCUGGAGGAAGCCAUCCAGCUACAAGGACCAGUAAAUAGUCAAAACCCAUUCCUAGCUCAACAGUAAAGCAAAAUCCAAUAUUUAAUAAGCAUAGCAGAGAGGAGGAGAGUUGUAAGAUAUGUACUUAAAUUUUACCUGCAUGCACAUAUGUCUUCAGACCUUCAGAUUUGCUCUCACUCCUGGAUCCAAAGUUCUGUUCUCUACAUAAUUUUUGUAUUGUUCUAAUUUUUCCUUUAGAACUUAUGUCAAGCAUCAUGCAUUCUUCCCUGAUUUUUUUUUUUUUUGGAGCAAUCUUCUCAACUCCUCCCAACAGCAUAUUACAUAUGCCUCUCUUUCUCCAUUUGCUUUUACUCCAGUUAGAAUUUGGGAGCCCAACAGGAUUAUAUCUUGUUUGUAAUAGCUGCUCUAGCUCCUAGCACACCAUUUGACACAUAAAGGUAAUAAACAAAUAUUUAUUAAGUAGUUGUUAAUUAAAUCCAAAACUUGGUAACAAAAACACAUUAUCAAAUAAAUGAACAUCUCCCAGCAGGCAAAGAGGACCUAACAAUCAUUGAAAACAUGACAAGUCUAGGAAAAGAAACCAGAAGAGAAGAAAAAUGAAAAUCUUCUGUAUUCCCAUAUUUGAUUUUUCCAAUUCGUACAGCUGAUAAACUAUCCAGUCUAAAGGCAGUGUCAUUGUUAGUGCAUUAAAAUACUGUAAUCCCAACACUUUGGGAGGCCAAGGUGGGUGGAUCACCUGAGGUCAGGAGUCCAAGACCAGCCUGGCCAACAUAGCGAAACCCUGUCUCUACUAAAAAUACAAAAAUUAGCUGGGUGUGGUGGUGGGCACCUGUAAUCCCAGCUACGUGGGAGACUGAGGCAGGAGAAACAUUUGAACCCAGGAGGCAGAGCUUCCAGUGAGAUGAGGUAGUGCCAUUGCACUCCAGCCUGGGCGACAAGAGCAAAACUCCACCUCAAACAAACAAAAACAUAAAAUAAGGCUAACUGAGGACUUUAUCUAUCUUAUUUAACAUAUAAAAUAUAUUAAUGUGAAGUUGUACAUAAUAACUUGUGAUUUUUUAAUACCGAAGCAUCUGUAUCAGUUUACUUUGUUCUACUUCUUUUUUCUUUAUUAGUUUCACCAGUAGUGUAU
RNAcentral lists this long non-coding RNA (2888 nucleotides) under Homo sapiens (human). RNAcentral describes it as "novel transcript". The record is from RNAcentral. Lineage: Eukaryota; Metazoa; Chordata; Mammalia; Primates; Hominidae.